GCCCCGGUAGUAUAGUGGUCUAGUAUCGAGGCCUGUCGAGCCUUGGGCUUGGGUUCAAAUCCCAACCGGGGCG
RNAcentral lists this transfer RNA (73 nucleotides) under Methanobacteriota archaeon. RNAcentral describes it as "Euryarchaeota archaeon (freshwater metagenome) tRNA-Asp". It matches the Rfam family "tRNA". From Rfam's summary of the family: Transfer RNA (tRNA) molecules are approximately 80 nucleotides in length. Their secondary structure includes four short double-helical elements and three loops (D, anti-codon, and T loops). Lineage: Archaea; Methanobacteriati; Methanobacteriota. The record is from RNAcentral. RNAcentral also lists the same sequence under 1 other name.